GCGGGGGUGCCUGAGCGGUUAAAAGGGCAGGACUUAAGAUCCUGUGGCUUAGUGCCUACGGAGGUUCGAAUCCUCCCUCCCGCA
Molecule: transfer RNA, 84 nt
Filed under: Nanobdellota archaeon
Lineage: Archaea; Nanobdellati; Nanobdellota
Description: tRNA-Leu
Rfam family: tRNA
About the family: Transfer RNA (tRNA) molecules are approximately 80 nucleotides in length. Their secondary structure includes four short double-helical elements and three loops (D, anti-codon, and T loops).
Source: RNAcentral